Molecule: small nucleolar RNA, 82 nt
Filed under: Gouania willdenowi (blunt-snouted clingfish)
Lineage: Eukaryota; Metazoa; Chordata; Actinopteri; Blenniiformes; Gobiesocidae
Description: Small nucleolar RNA MBII-202 (ENSGWIG00000022384.1)
Rfam family: Small nucleolar RNA MBII-202
About the family: MBII-202 is a member of the C/D class of snoRNA which contain the C (UGAUGA) and D (CUGA) box motifs. Most of the members of the box C/D family function in directing site-specific 2'-O-methylation of substrate RNAs.
Source: RNAcentral
CGAUGAUAAAUCUCCGGAAUCUCUGUAUCUACUUGAUGAAAACGAUGAACCCCUUUUCUGAUGACUGCUUUAUAGAGUUUUU